GUGGCAAAUCUAGAAACAAUACAUGCGUACAGGCGUGACUUUGGGGGAGGGCUGCAUUUAUUUGACUUAAGCCAAUACCCCUCGGGGUUGUUUUGGUGAUUCAGAAUAACUGAGCGAAUCGCAUAGCUGUCGGGCGGGGAUGAAUCAUUCAAGUUUCUGCCCCAUCAGCUGUCGAUGGUAGGGUAUAGGCCUACCAUGGCUGUCACGGGUGACGGAGAAUUAGGGUUCGAUUCCGGAGAGGGAGCCUGAGAGAGGGCUACCACAUCCAAGGAAGGCGGCAGGCGCGUAAAUUGCUCAAUGUUGACUCGACGAAGUGGUGACGAGAAUUAACAAUGCGGAGCGCUCAGCGUUUUGCAAUUGGAAUGAGGGCAAUGUAAAAGCCUCAUCGAGGAUCCAUUGGAGGGCAAGUCUGGUGCCAGCAGCCGCGGUAAUUGCAGCUCCAAGAGCGUAUACUAAAGUUGUUGCAGUUAAAAAGCUCGUAGUUGAGCCUCUGGUAGGGCCGACCUUGGCGCGCGGUGAAUGCCGCGUUGCUUGAAAGCG
RNAcentral lists this ribosomal RNA (540 nucleotides) under Thraustochytriidae sp. RNAcentral describes it as "SSU rRNA". It matches the Rfam family "Eukaryotic small subunit ribosomal RNA", at positions 149 to 691 of the family's 1831-position model. The record is from RNAcentral. Lineage: Eukaryota; Bigyra; Thraustochytrida; Thraustochytriidae.